This 21-nucleotide non-coding RNA is filed under the name Arabidopsis thaliana (thale cress). The record is from RNAcentral. Lineage: Eukaryota; Viridiplantae; Streptophyta; Magnoliopsida; Brassicales; Brassicaceae.
UGGGGCGGCACAUCUGUUAAA